This 378-nucleotide unclassified non-coding RNA is filed under the name plant metagenome. RNAcentral's name for it is "partial contains 5.8S ribosomal RNA, internal transcribed spacer 2, and large subunit ribosomal RNA". The stretch from base 1 to 105 matches the Rfam family "5.8S ribosomal RNA", at positions 50 to 154 of the family's 154-position model. The record is from RNAcentral.
GAAAUGCGAUAAGUAAUGUGAAUUGCAGAAUUCAGUGAAUCAUCGAAUCUUUGAACGCAACUUGCGCUCCUUGGUAUUCCUUGGAGCAUGCCUGUUUGAGUAUCAUGAAAUCUUCAAAGUAAAUCUUUUGUUAACUCAAUUGGUUUCUACUUUGGUAUUGGAGGUCUUUGCAGCUUCACACCUGCUCCUCUUUGUUCAUUAGCUGGAUCUCAGUGUUAUGCUUGGUUCCACUCGGCGUGAUAAGUUAUCUAACGCUGAGGACACUGUAAAAGGUGGCCAAGGUAAAUGCAGAUGAACCGCUUCUAAUAGUCCAUUGACUUGGACAAUACUUUUAUGAUCUGAUCUCAAAUCAGGUAGGACUACCCGCUGAACUUAAGC